RNAcentral lists this ribosomal RNA (465 nucleotides) under Vreelandella stevensii. RNAcentral's name for it is "partial 16S ribosomal RNA". It matches the Rfam family "Bacterial small subunit ribosomal RNA", at positions 338 to 795 of the family's 1533-position model. The record is from RNAcentral. Lineage: Bacteria; Pseudomonadati; Pseudomonadota; Gammaproteobacteria; Oceanospirillales; Halomonadaceae.
CCUACGGGUGGCUGCAGUGGGGAAUAUUGGACAAUGGGGGGAACCCUGAUCCAGCCAUGCCGCGUGUGUGAAGAAGGCCCUCGGGUUGUAAAGCACUUUCAGUGAGGAAGAACGCCUGGUGGUUAAUACCCAUCAGGAAAGACAUCACUCACAGAAGAAGCACCGGCUAACUCCGUGCCAGCAGCCGCGGUAAUACGGAGGGUGCGAGCGUUAUUCGGAAUUACUGGGCGUAAAGCGCGCGUAGGUGGCUUGAUAAGCCGGUUGUGAAAGCCCCGGGCUCAACCUGGGAACGGCAUCCGGAACUGUCAAGCUAGAGUGCAGGAGAGGAAGGUAGAAUUCCCGGUGUAGCGGUGAAAUGCGUAGAGAUCGGGAGGAAUACCAGUGGCGAAGGCGGCCUUCUGGACUGACACUGACACUGAGGUGCGAAAGCGUGGGUAGCAAACAGGAUUAGAUACCCGAGUAGUC